ACUAGAUAUUGUACAUGAUUGUAGCCACACAAUCCUUAUUGUAGUUGAAGUAACUUGUUUCUUGACACAUUGUCUCCUUUGGCUAUUCUGCUUCUCAUUUUGUAAUUACAUUUUUUCUUUGGAUAAUAUUGAAUAGUAUGUUUAGCUUCUCCAUAAUAUAAGUAUAAGCCCUUUUGAUAUUGUCGACUCUUUUUUUCUUUUGUGAGGAAUUUAAAAUGUAUUAUAUUAAUUUGUAUUGAAUUUAGCCUUGAUAAAUAAUUUUUUGAAAACUUAAGAACUACCA
Molecule: long non-coding RNA, 283 nt
Filed under: Physcomitrium patens
Lineage: Eukaryota; Viridiplantae; Streptophyta; Bryopsida; Funariales; Funariaceae
Description: long non-coding RNA (PPAT_LNC003059)
Source: RNAcentral